UACACACCGCCCGUCACGCCACGAAAGUUUAUUGUACCAGAAACGGUGAGCUAACCCGCAAGGGAGGCAGCUGGCUACGGUAUGGUAGAUCGAUUCGGGGCGA
RNAcentral lists this ribosomal RNA (103 nucleotides) under uncultured bacterium. Its description in RNAcentral is "partial 16S ribosomal RNA". The record is from RNAcentral.